GAAGGACCCCAGGGAAGGACAGCGCCAGCCAAGGCCCACAAGCCAAGCUGUGUGUGGGAGGUCGUGGGGUGGGGGCAGUCGAGAAGGGCCUGCUCCCGGGCCACCACCCACCCCACCACUGCUGGGGUGUCCCCAGCACCACCGUCCUGUCUUCUCACAGGAACAGCGGACGGAGGUCAAAGGCUGCCUGCCACCUACCAGGGGACAGAGACCCAUGUGCUGGAAAUACUCGCUCCCUGGAUUUUUGACUUCACACCCGUGUGCGCGGUGCGAACCCAAGCGCAUCAGCUGCCGGCUGGCUCAUUAGGCCUCAGGGAGGCACAUACCCCUCACCCACCAGCGUCAACCUCCAGAGCCCGCGUGGCAGAGUCGACUCUCAACAGCCUCCCGCGGAGUGAACCCAGGAGCGGUUCCCCCUGGGCAGAUGACUACGUGCUCCAGCCAGGGGCUCCCUGACAGCUGCCCGCUGAAUUUGUCCAAAGCCAGCUGUCAUAGGGCAUCAUGUCACCGUGAGAGGCCUGGGGGUGAAGGCCCUGGACGGAGAUUUGGGGGAGUCACCCUGAAGCCUGCAGUGUGAGCCCUGCAGACACAGGCAGCAGUGUCCUGCCAUGGGAGCUGUUUGGAGCUGUGGGGCUGCCUGUGUCCCUCGCUGUCCCCUCUUGAGCCAGGUCCCAUGUCUCCUCCCAAGAGCAGGCAGGAGGCAGGGCUGGCUCCUUCCAAAGCCCACCAGUGGCCUGGGAUGGAAGAGGCCCGCCCCAGCCCAGGAGGACGCUGGGCACACCCAGGGUGGCCAGGAUGCUGGACGUCCUGGGAGCCUAGAGGGAGAGGGUGGAGGGAGUAGGCGGAAGGUGGCUGCUGAGCCGGCGGCUCUGGCACUGCCCGGGCAGGGAGAGGAGGGUUUGGCGAGCACAGCCCUCGCCCUCCAGCCCCCGGGAGGGAGUCGGCAGCCCCUCUUCCACAGCUGGGCAUGGAGGCUCAGCAAGAGAGGGGCUGCCCCAGGGGACACACCAGGGGCCUGGGGCCCUCCUGACCUCUCCUGGUCCCUCUCUCAGCAGCUUCUGUUUCUGAGCAGGGCUCUGAGGGAGUGGGGGGUGGGCUCCGCUCAGGACCCAAGAUGUGCCCUGGCAGGGACCAGGCAGGGCACCUGUUCCUCCCUGCGGUGGCAGACACAGGGCCCAGGGUGGGGAUGGCUGGCCCAAGGGCCUGGACUUGGCACCACGGAAGGACCUUUCCUGGAAGCCACAGAGGCUCAGGGACACAGAGGCAGUUCUGGAAGCCAGGGCAUCUCCAAACAGCCAUGGUGCCAGCUGCCCCUGAUGGGUGGAGAGGAGGUGGUAUGUAGGGAUCCUCCAGGGCCCGGCCUCCUCUGGCCCAUUAUGUCGGGGAGCCAGGAGGUGAUCUCAUCCAGAGCAGUGGGCUCGGAGUUGUGUUGAUUCCAAAGAAGAUCAUAGUGGGACUUUUUCCGGUGCUGCUGGGGGUGGAACCCAGGGCCUCCUGCAUGCCAGGCCAGUGUGGUGCCACUGAGCUGUGCUGGGCCCUGCUGGGCAUCCUGGUGACAUCUGCCUGCCGUUCCCAUAGCUCUUCCCUCCUGGUUCUCAUUCAACAACCUGCUCAGUGUUUAGAGUUCCCCACACCCACAGAGGGCCAGCGUCCACCAGCUCUGGGCUGGACACCGCCUUAAGGCCUGUGCCCCAACUGGCCGAAACCCACCCAGUCUCAACAGCUCUCGGGCGUCUUGCUCAGAAUGCUGGGCAGUCAGGCUUGCUGUCUCUGGGCGUGUGUAGGACACACAAGGAUCCCCCCCGACAGAUGUUGGAACCAUCUGGCCGUCACGGGAGAGUGGGCAGAAGGACGAAGCUCAUAGCAACGCUGGGCGGAGCCGGGAGGACUGCUGGAAACGCAGCUGGAGCCUGAUCCAGCCUCACCUGCUGCCCGCAUCCUUGACGUUGCCAGGGAAUCAACCUCGCUAUUCUGUUGACGGCCAGCUUGAGUCGGGGUGUGCGGCGCUUGGCUUUGAAGGACACUAGUGGUUGGCGUAGACAUGAGUCUGAGAGCCAGCUCCAGGUCUGGAAUCCACCCCCAUCUCUGAACCUCGUUUCCCAUCUGGAGACAACGACCAACCUCCGUGCUCCACAGGGCUGUCCAGAGACUGGUGACAUGAGUGGCACCACUAACACAGAGCUUGGCACCUAGUGCUGUCCCAAGAACUGCAUGCUCCAUGACUCUCGCCCCUGGGGUUCAGGCCAUCCUGCUUCUGGGCUUCCAAGGGGAGCCCCCGAAACCUUGCCCUGGGCCGGUUAUCAUGGCCACUGGGACUGGGGGAGGGAGGCUCUCUGAUUAUGGUCAUUAGGGCCACCACCCUGGGAGUCUGGUCACGGCACCUGGGCCAACCUUUAGACCUGCCUUGGGUCGGCCAAGCAGCCCCAAAUAGUUGCUUUGCCAAGUUUUUGACAAGAAGUCUAUUUCAGGCCCAGGGAGGAGGACGGUGUGACCUGCCCUGUGGACAGACACGCCCACGAGCUCUGGCCCCACAGCCAUGGCUGCUGCUCAAGGAGGCCCGGCCAGUCCCCAUGGGGCUACUACUCUGAACCUUCUCUCUCCGUCAUAAAACCAGCACCGUCCUCGGCAAAGCCCGACCCACUGCACCUUAUGGUGAGGAGAGGGCUCCCCUCACCUUCCAGGGCCCCUCAGCCGACCCUGCAGGUGCCCUCUUCCAGGGGCAUUUGAUGUCCCCCCGUGCACACACUUCCUUACCAGGUGGCCCCUCCCACGUGGACCCUCCUGCAGUCUGACUUUUAAACGGCUUUACUAGCCUGUAUUUUGUACCAGGAGACUCACCCUUCAUAGGGUGGGGUCCACGAGCUCUCAGUGUGAUGGAGUUUUGUGGCCAUCGCUGCCGGGGUCUGGCUGGGGGAGCCCCCGGGGGCCUGGGGUGUCCAGGCUGGAGUGCUUGGAGAUGAUGAGGGCCUCCUGAGAGCCGCGGCCGCCUCGCCGUCCGGGGGUGAAGGCACCAGGUGCUACCGUGGGUCAGUGGAGGUGGCCACAGGGCCCUGCCCACAGCCACUUCCCCUCUCCCUCUGCUCCCUGGCUGUGCCCUGGGAAGGGCUUCCUCCACCAUCCUCCAUGAUUCUGGGCCUCACCUUGGCCAGAGCGUGAGACUGGUUGACCUGGGAGGGACAGAACCUCUGAAACCAGGAGCCCAGACACUUCUUCGAGAUGCUCCCGACAGGCGUCGUGGUCCCCGUGGUGAGAAGCCAAAGGGCACCCCAGCCUCACAUGUUACACUUGCGUGCCCAGCCCCUCCACCCACCCCAGGCAGCCGCUCACUUGCUUCCUGUCCCCACAGACCUCCCUUGGGACCUUGCAUGUAGGUGGCUCACAGGUACGUGACCCCUGGUGACUGGCUUCCUUGACUCAGCAUGACGGGUUCCAGGCCCCACCUGCUGCCACGCAUGUCGAUGCUUUCUCUUCAUGACCAAGUAAUAUUCCCGUGUGUGGAGACCACGUUUUGUUAUCAUCCUCAGCUGGUGGACACUUGGGUCUUGCUCUGUGGCUGUGAUGAAUAAAGCUGCU
Long non-coding RNA from Marmota monax (woodchuck), 3573 nucleotides. RefSeq lists it as uncharacterized. The record is from RefSeq and is a predicted model, not a curated record. The transcript is spliced from 4 exons. NCBI's taxonomy places the organism in Eukaryota, Metazoa, Chordata, Mammalia, Rodentia, Sciuridae.